Long non-coding RNA from Daphnia pulicaria, 1243 nucleotides. RefSeq lists it as uncharacterized. The transcript is spliced from 3 exons. NCBI's taxonomy places the organism in Eukaryota, Metazoa, Arthropoda, Branchiopoda, Diplostraca, Daphniidae. The record is from RefSeq and is a predicted model, not a curated record.
ACACUGAGAAGGCCGAAUGUUACACAGCCACGUAUGCUGCCCCAGUUUACUACACCGAGGCCCACAAGUAUUACUCUGAUCCAAUCUACUACCAGAGGCUUCCGACUACACCAAGGUCCCCGAGUAUUAAACUACGACCUGCGCUGCCUACGCUGCCUCCAGCUACUACACUGAAGCUCCAAAGUUCUAAACAACCAAGGAAAUUUAACACCACAACCUACGCUUCUCCACCUUACUACACACGGCAACAGCUGUAGUGCUCUAUUAGUCACCAAUUGCAGUCUUGAUCGUGCAACCAAUUCGCAAUCAUGCUUUUGCCGUCGUGCUGCUGUUGAGUGUUCCAUCGUUGAUAGCGGGUCGACCACUGGUGUACCGAACUCCACCAAGGUUGGGUGAGAACUACACGUGUUGCAUCACUAUCAAGGCGGUGUAAUAGCCGUAAGGCUUAAGAGGUGAAACAGGAUGACAAAAAGUCGUAAAAAAGGAGAGGGAAAAGGCGAUGGAGAUCAGUCGAGUGAGCAUCUCCGACCCGGCAACUGGCAACAACUUUACUAUUUGUCAUGAACUGCAUUUUUCCGAUUCUCAUUCAUGGUUAUAUGUGGUGUCGUUCUAGUUCUACCGUUGGUUAUCGUUUAUUGCUGAGUCGACCACUGUUGUAACGAUGUCUCAUGGGUAUGGAGGAUACCAAACCGCAACGUCGCAGCCUAACUACACAAGAACACAACAACAUACGCAACAACCAGUUACUAUACCGAGGCCCACCUGUUCUACAUGGUUCUACACCACUAAGGCACAGGAGUAUUACACCACAACCUACGCUGCUCCAGCCUACUACACCGAGGCUCCCAAGCACUACUCCACCUGAGAAUUCCAGUACUACGCGACUACGUAUGCUCCUCCAGCUUACUACACCGAGGCGCCCAAGUAUUACUCUGCUCCAGCUUACUACACCAAGGUCCUGAAUACUACUCUACACCCAGCUACAUACCCACAACUGAGGCGGCCGAGUAUUAUGCAGUACCUACUUACUACACAGCGGCUUCUCCAUCGUACUACCUUGAUCUGAAUUACUACUCCGAGGUUCCAGUUAACUGCAUCAUAAUCUACGCUGCCCCCAGCUACUACACUGAAGCUCCUAUUAACUGCAACACCAAGGCAUUCGAGUAUUAUACCACAUUUACGCUUCUCCGACCUACUACACCGAAGCUCCGAAGUAUUACUUGCCCCGAGUUACAACACCACU